Small nuclear RNA from Molossus molossus (Pallas's mastiff bat), 105 nucleotides. The record is from RefSeq and is a predicted model, not a curated record. Lineage: Eukaryota; Metazoa; Chordata; Mammalia; Chiroptera; Molossidae.
GUGCUCCCCUCAGCAGCACAUAUACUAAAAUUGGAACGAUACAGAGAGGAUUAGCAUGGCCCCUGAAGGAUGACACACAAAUUCAUUGAAUCAUUCCAUAUUUAA